RNAcentral lists this small RNA (1036 nucleotides) under Histoplasma capsulatum. Its description in RNAcentral is "hypothetical RNA". Lineage: Eukaryota; Fungi; Ascomycota; Eurotiomycetes; Onygenales; Ajellomycetaceae. The record is from RNAcentral.
CCCAUUUCGCCAAUCUCAAAUGUUGUUGUUGUUUUGAUGAUUACAUCGAACCUUGAUGGCAAUUAUUUUUUCGUUACUGAAACCCCCCUAGCCACCUUGCUGCCAUCCUCAAGCCCCAUUUGAUCCGCAUAAAGCGUCAAGCAUAAACUACAUCUUUUCCUCUCUGACAGGGAACAUCUCCAUUGUUCCACCGUGAUGAGAAGGGCCCCUGGCCAAGGGCUCCUCACCCCACCAACUGUCUAACCAUUUUAGCUUGCACAGCCUCUUGUCUUGCAAAUUCUCCCCUUCUUCUUCGGCUUUGCACUUUUGCCCCUAUUUCUCGGGAAUUUCUCAUCACAAGUGGUUAGCAGAUAGAAAUGCAGAAGAGCGCCCUUUUUUUUUUUUUUCGCAUCCUGUGUGAACUUGUCUUCACCAACUCGAUGGUAGAUUUACCCAUGACUGGCUAGGCGGGUCCUUCUCAAAGAAGACGGCGUUUUAUGUGUGUGCCAGAUCUUGCAUGUUAAGAAUAAGGAUUGGCUGCAGGAACAGGAGGCAGAGCAAAUAAUAACUACGCGGGUAAGAGUGGUCAGGCCCAGCCAGACCUGGCUUUCUGAGUGCAGAGGAGAGCGGGUGGGAUGAGAGAGAACCUCCCAUUGAAUCAGAGGGUGUUAAUAAGUAAUUAACCCCCUGGCCUUACCACUGCGCGGUGUAUUGAUGUUUAUAUAUGCUACGUUCAAGUGUGUGCACCGUGCGAUAGAUAUACAUAGGUUGAUUUACGUAGGCUGGAGUUUUGAUUCUCUUUGGCUGGCUGGCUGCUUGUUUAUGGCCAGCUCCGGGGGGUAACUUUGUGAGUGGAGGAAAUACUGCAAAUGAUCAUUUCCUCCUACCCAUGACAGGUAGUAUCUCAGUCGAAAUUAAUAAAGGGGCUUUGUCUCUUGUGUUGAAUCCCCCACACACGUCAUGUUUUUGUCUCACUCAUUACUGUUCUACAAUAGAACUGGUGAGAGAUGAGAGAAGGUACUAAUUAGUAUUUAUCUAAAAUCAGUUUAUCCAGGAU